GCGGGUGCUAUACAUGCAGUCGAGCGGACAGAAGGGAGCUUGCUCCCGGAUGUUAGCGGCGGACGGGUGAGUAACACGUGGGUAACCUGCCUGUAAGACUGGGAUAACUCCGGGAAACCGGAGCUAAUACCGGAUAGUUCCUUGAACCGCAGGUUCAAGGAUGAAAGACGGUUUCGGCUGUCACUUACAGAUGGACCCGCGGCGCAUAGCUAGUUGGUGGGGUAAUGGCUCACCAAGGCGACGAUGCGUAGCCGACCUGAGAGGGUGAUCGGCCACACUGGGACUGAGACACGGCCCAGACUCCUACGGGAGGCAGCAGUAGGGAAUCUUCCGCAAUGGACGAAAGUCUGACGGAGCAACGCCGCGUGAGUGAUGAAGGUUUUCGGAUCGUAAAGCUCUGUUGUUAGGGAAGAACAAGUGCGAGAGUAACUGCUCGCACCUUGACGGUACCUAACCAGAAAGCCACGGCUAACUACGUGCCAGCAGCCGCGGUAAUACGUAGGUGGCAAGCGUUGUCCGGAAUUAUUGGGCGUAAAGGGCUCGCAGGCGGUUUCUUAAGUCUGAUGUGAAAGCCCCCGGCUCAACCGGGGAGGGUCAUUGGAAACUGGGAAACUUGAGUGCAGAAGAGGAGAGUGGAAUUCCACGUGUAGCGGUGAAAUGCGUAGAGAUGUGGAGGAACACCAGUGGCGAAGGCGACUCUCUGGUCUGUAACUGACGCUGAGGAGCGAAAGCGUGGGGAGCGAACAGGAUUAGAUACCCUGGUAGUCCACGCCGUAAACGAUGAGUGCUAAGUGUUAAGGGGGUUUCCGCCCCUUAGUGCUGCAGCUAACGCAUUAAGCACUCCGCCUGGGGGAGUACGGUCGCAAGACUGAAACUCAAAGGAAUUGACGGGGGCCCGCACAAGCGGUGGAGCAUGGUGGUUUAAUUCGAAGCAACGCGAAGAACCUUACCAG
Molecule: ribosomal RNA, 953 nt
Filed under: Bacillus safensis
Lineage: Bacteria; Bacillati; Bacillota; Bacilli; Caryophanales; Bacillaceae
Description: bacterial SSU rRNA
Rfam family: Bacterial small subunit ribosomal RNA
Source: RNAcentral